This 468-nucleotide ribosomal RNA is filed under the name uncultured bacterium. Its description in RNAcentral is "partial 16S ribosomal RNA". It matches the Rfam family "Bacterial small subunit ribosomal RNA", at positions 28 to 507 of the family's 1533-position model. The record is from RNAcentral.
GACGAACGCUGGCGGCGUGCUUAACACAUGCAAGUCGAACGGAAAGGCCCUGCUUUUGUGGGGUGCUCGAGUGGCGAACGGGUGAGUAACACGUGAGUAACCUGCCCUUGUCUUUGGGAUAACUUCAGGAAACUGGGGCUAAUACCGGAUAGGAGCUCCUGCUGCACGGUGGUGGUUGGAAAGUUUCGGCGGUUGGGGAUGGACUCGCGGCUUAUCAGCUUGUUGGUGUGGUAGUGGCUUACCAAGGCUUUGACGGGUAGCCGGCCUGAGAGGGUGACCGGCCACAUGGGGACUGAGAUACGGCCCAGACUCCUACGGGAGGCAGCAGUGGGGAAUAUUGCAGAAUGGGCGGAAGCCUGAUGCAGCAACGCCGCGUGCGGGAUGACGGCCUUCGGGUUGUAAACCGCUUUCGCCUGUGACGAAGCGUGAGUGACGGUAAUGGGUAAAGAAGCACCGGCUAACUACGUG